AGUGGCGGACGGGUGAGUAACGCGUGGAUANCCUGCCGUAUACCGGGGGAUAACACUUAGAAAUAGGUGCUAAUACCGCAUAAGCGCACGGCUCCGCAUGGGGCAGUGUGAAAAACUCCGGUGGUAUACGAUGGAUCCGCGUCUGAUUAGCUAGUUGGCGGGGUAACGGCCCACCAAGGCAGCGAUCAGUAGCCGGCCUGAGAGGGUGGACGGCCACAUUGGGACUGAGACACGGCCCAAACUCCUACGGGAGGCAGCAGUGGGGAAUAUUGCACAAUGGGGGAAACCCUGAUGCAGCGACGCCGCGUGAGUGAAGAAGUAUCUCGGUACGUAAAGCUCUAUCAGCAGGGAAGAAAAUGACGGUACCUGACUAAGAAGCCCCGGCUAACUACGUGCCAGCAGCCGCGGUAAUACGUAGGGGGCAAGCGUUAUCCGGAUUUACUGGGUGUAAAGGGAGCGUAGACGGCAGCACAAGUCUGGAGUGAAAUCCCGGGGCUUAACCCCGGAACUGCUUUGGAAACUGUGCGGCUGGAGUGCAGGAGGGGUAAGCGGAAUUCCUAGUGUAGCGGUGAAAUGCGUAGAUAUUAGGAGGAACACCGGUGGCGAAGGCGGCUUACUGGACUGUAACUGACGUUGAGGCUCGAAAGCGUGGGGAGCAAACAGGAUUAGAUACCCUGGUA
RNAcentral lists this ribosomal RNA (680 nucleotides) under uncultured bacterium. Its description in RNAcentral is "bacterial SSU rRNA". It matches the Rfam family "Bacterial small subunit ribosomal RNA", at positions 94 to 792 of the family's 1533-position model. The record is from RNAcentral.